GAUGAACGCUGCCAGAAUGCUUAACACAUGCAAGUCCACUUGAAUUUGGGUUUUUACCUUAGGUUUGGGUGGCGGACGGGUGAGUAACGCGUAAAGAACUUGCCUCACAGCUAGGGACAACAUUUGGAAACGAAUGCUAAUACCUAAUAUUAUGAUAAUAGGGCAUCCUAUAAUUAUGAAAGCUAUAAGCGCUGUGAGAGAGCUUUGCGUCCCAUUAGCUAGUUGGAGAGGUAACGGCUCACCAAGGCGAUGAUGGGUAGCCGGUCUGAGAGGGUGAUCGGCCACAAGGGGACUGAGACACGGCCCUUACUCCUACGGGAGGCAGCAGUGGGGAAUAUUGGACAAUGGACCGAGAGUCUGAUCCAGCAAUUCUGUGUGCACGAUGAAGUUUUUCGGAAUGUAAAGUGCUUUCAGUUGGGAAGAAACAAAUGACGGUACCAACAGAAGAAGUGACGGCUAAAUACGUG
Molecule: ribosomal RNA, 467 nt
Filed under: uncultured bacterium
Lineage: Bacteria
Description: partial 16S ribosomal RNA
Rfam family: Bacterial small subunit ribosomal RNA
Source: RNAcentral